This 253-nucleotide ribosomal RNA is filed under the name uncultured bacterium. RNAcentral's name for it is "partial 16S ribosomal RNA". It matches the Rfam family "Bacterial small subunit ribosomal RNA", at positions 524 to 776 of the family's 1533-position model. The record is from RNAcentral.
UACGGGGGGGGCAAGCGUUGUUCGGAAUUACUGGGCGUAAAGGGCUCGUAGGCGGCCAACUAAGUCAUACGUGAAAUCCCUCAGCUUAACUGGGGAACUGCGUGUGAUACUGGAUGGCUUGGAUUUGGGAGAGGGAUGCGGAAUUCCAGGUGUAGCGGUGAAAUGCGUAGAUAUCAUGAGGAAUACCAGAGGCGAAGGCGGCUCCCUGGACAAUUGCUGACACUCAGGCACGAAAGCGUGGGGAGCAAAAGGG